This 484-nucleotide ribosomal RNA is filed under the name uncultured bacterium. RNAcentral's name for it is "partial 16S ribosomal RNA". It matches the Rfam family "Bacterial small subunit ribosomal RNA", at positions 30 to 507 of the family's 1533-position model. The record is from RNAcentral.
AUUGAACGCUGGCGGCAGGCCUAACACAUGCAAGUCGAGCGGAUGAAGGGAGCUUGCUCCUGGAUUCAGCGGCGGACGGGUGAGUAAUGCCUAGGAAUCUGCCUGGUAGUGGGGGAUAACGUCCGGAAACGGGCGCUAAUACCGCAUACGUCCUGAGGGAGAAAGUGGGGGAUCUUCGGACCUCACGCUAUCAGAUGAGCCUAGGUCGGAUUAGCUAGUUGGUGGGGUAAAGGCCUACCAAGGCGACGAUCCGUAACUGGUCUGAGAGGAGGAUCAGUCACACUGGAACUGAGACACGGUCCAGACUCCUGAGGGAGGCAGCAGUGGGGAAUAUUGGACAAUGGGCGGAAGCCUGAUCCAGCCAUGCCGCGUGUGUGAAGAAGGUCUUCGGAUUGUAAAGCACUUUAAGUUGGGAGGAAGGGCAGUAAGUUAAUACCUUGCUGUUUUGACGUUACCAACAGAAUAAGCACCGGCUAACUUCGUG